CAUUGUUUUCCAGAAGCAGCAGCAUUUAGAGGAACUGGCACACUGCAGAACAUGCGGGAAACUAUAGAGAAUCACGUACAUGGAUCAAAGAACACCAUGUAUGAAAAUGCUAAAMAGGUCAUGAUGAACCACCUGSACARCUUGAUGGUUUGUUACUUUUAAUGUGAUAAGAGUGAAAUAUGAAUUACAUUACCUCUCCACUCUGUUAUCGUACCCAUAUACUGAUCCAUACAAAGCUGUAAAAAAGUACAUGGCUUCUUUCUCUUGUUUUUGUUUCCUCUCUUUCUAAARUGUCUUGAUGGAUUCUUGAUCUGAUAGAGAACAUAUGGCUAAAAUGUGAUCCCUUAUUAAAAUACUCCUUGACGUGUGAAUAAAAACAAGUUUCAGACAUUUUGACAAUAGUCACUUCCCAUUUAAUCUUGAAAUUAACUUUUGACUGAAACAAGUGAUAAAAGGUUUAACUCUAAAUCAGRKGGACGUCCUGAAAACACUAGAGGAUACCAUGAGGGAAUCGAUUGAGCUCUCACUGAAGACUGAUGAUCUUUCACUUCCAGAAGUUUCAGCACAGCUGGAGAUGGUCCAAAAACUACGUGAUGAGCUGAACAGCUGCUAAAACAGGGAACAUAUUUGAGCUGUUCUCAUUGGAGGGAUUCAUCAUCAUCUGCAUCUGCAGCCCUUCGGAAUGAAAAACUGUAGGAUUAUGGAACAACUUAGAAAGUGAAAUUGAAAUCAAGUCAAAGUGUCUUUACUUAGUCCUCAAGGGAGAAUUGCUGGAAAAAGACAUUUCCAUUUUUUAAUAGAUUUCUUUGAUAUUUUAAAUAUGAAAAAAUGUUUUGGAUUUUUAGUAUAGGUUGAUUACACUCCUUUACUCUUUGAUAAUCUUAGAAAUGUUUGCAUUACAUUUGGAAUUAAAUGUAAAUCAAAGUAUCUCAGUACUGCAGGUCUUAUUGCAGGAAAAAGACAUAGAAGACAUUUCCAUUUUGGAAAGUUUUCUUUGAUAUUUUAUACGUGACAAAAUGUUAUUCAUUUUUAGCAUGUUUAUUACACUUUUUUAACUGUUUAUUUUUUACAGAUGUUUGCAUUACUUUUUUCUUUUUUUGUUGAAGCUUACAUGAAAAAUGUAAAGACAAAUAAAGUAGCCAUUAUUUCUUGCUUCUGAAGAUGACUAAACCUCUAAUUAUUCUCUAUUUUUUUAGUUGUUUAAUUGUACUCCUAAUGCAUGUGUG
Molecule: non-coding RNA, 1226 nt
Organism: Poecilia reticulata (guppy)
Lineage: Eukaryota; Metazoa; Chordata; Actinopteri; Cyprinodontiformes; Poeciliidae
Source: RefSeq, a predicted model, not a curated record